Non-coding RNA from Triticum aestivum (bread wheat), 115 nucleotides. The record is from Rfam. NCBI's taxonomy places the organism in Eukaryota, Viridiplantae, Streptophyta, Magnoliopsida, Poales, Poaceae.
GUUGUACUCCCUCCAUUCCGAAUUACUUGUCACUGAAAUGGAUGUAUCUAGAACUAAAAAAUGUCUGGAUACAUCCAUUUCUACGACAAGUAAUUCCGAACGGAGGGAGUACUUA